Molecule: ribosomal RNA, 253 nt
Filed under: uncultured bacterium
Lineage: Bacteria
Description: partial 16S ribosomal RNA
Rfam family: Bacterial small subunit ribosomal RNA
Source: RNAcentral
UACGUAGGGGGCAAGCGUUGUCCGGAAUUAUUGGGCGUAAAGAGCGUGUAGGCGGUCCGGUAAGUCGGCUGUGAAAGUCCAGGGCUCAACCCUGGGAUGCCGGUCGAUACUGCCGGACUAGAGUUCGGAAGAGGCGAGUGGAAUUCCCGGUGUAGCGGUGAAAUGCGCAGAUAUCGGGAGGAACACCUAUGGCGAAGGCAGCUCGCUGGGACGUUACUGACGUUGAGACGCGAAAGCGUGGGGAGCAAACAGG